AGAACGAACGCUGGCGGCAGGCUUAACACAUGCAAGUCGAACGCCCCGCAAGGGGAGUGGCAGACGGGUGAGUAACGCGUGGGAACGUGCCCUUCGCUUCGGAAUAGUCCCGGGAAACUGGGUUUAAUACCGGAUACGCCGUAUUGGGAAAGAUUUAUCGGCGAAGGAUCGGCCCGCGUUAGAUUAGGUAGUUGGCGGUGUAAUGGACCACCAAGCCUACGAUCUAUAGCUGGUCUGAGCGGAUGAUCAGCCACACUGGGACUGAGACACGGCCCAGACUCCUACGGGAGGCAGCAGUGGGGAAUCUUGGACAAUGGGCGCAAGCCUGAUCCAGCCAUGCCGCGUGAGUGAAGAAGGCCUUAGGGUUGUAAAACUCUUUCGCCGGUGAAGAUAAUGACGGUACCCACAGAAGAAGCCCGACUAACUUCGUGCCAGCAGCCGC
Molecule: ribosomal RNA, 442 nt
Filed under: uncultured soil bacterium
Lineage: Bacteria
Description: bacterial SSU rRNA
Rfam family: Bacterial small subunit ribosomal RNA
Source: RNAcentral